RNAcentral lists this microRNA precursor (79 nucleotides) under Myotis davidii. Its description in RNAcentral is "mir-9193 microRNA precursor family". It matches the Rfam family "mir-9193 microRNA precursor family". The record is from Rfam by way of RNAcentral. Lineage: Eukaryota; Metazoa; Chordata; Mammalia; Chiroptera; Vespertilionidae.
GCGGGGGAGGGGGGGCGCGUUCCCUCAGCCUAGAUUGCUAGAAGGUGUAGGCUAGGCCGAGGGACUCCACCGGUGCCCA